Non-coding RNA from Aegilops tauschii subsp. strangulata, 1436 nucleotides. The record is from RefSeq and is a predicted model, not a curated record. NCBI's taxonomy places the organism in Eukaryota, Viridiplantae, Streptophyta, Magnoliopsida, Poales, Poaceae.
UAGUAAUUCCUGAGGAAAGAAUUAACUCCUUUGCCGAUCAAGGAGGAGGCGUUUGAGUUUGACAGAGCUGACGGGGAUGGGAUUUGGGUUCCAGGGGAUAAGGAUAGAAGUGGCGGCUAGGCUUGCACUUGCACGGUUUGAAUAGGGGACGAGAUCACGACCGAUUUAAAGCGUUUCCUUGGGGCUUAUCGCGAACCACGGCCGCCGACGGCGCCACCGCCCACUGCUGCCGCGGCGCCCCGCGCAGAGAGUGAUUAGGCCAGAGAAAAGAAUAGUGGUGCUCAGCCAUCGAGGCGUGUACGCGCAGACUUCCUCAACGCCUCGAGCGAUCCUUGGCGGUGCCGGCGUUGUCCGGCGCGGCGGUCUGCAGCGGUCUUGGCGCGGAUAAUGACACCGGUCACGGCGGCGCCCGCACGCGUUUGCGUCGCUAUGAAGACUCCGUCUAGCGCGCACGGCUUCCGCACAGAAGAAUUUCUGUCAAUACCGAUUCAAUCAACCACAACCCCGUCCACGGCGAGAAUACAUGCGCAUGCAUAAAUCCGUAAAAGAGGUAAACUGGAUCAGGAGAUUUAUCCGUUUGCUUUGUCUUCUUCCCAUCAAUCAACGAUCUAUCCAUAAUUUUUCUCGUGUACAUGUAUGCACUCACGAGAAUUACUUCCAUCCGAGUUCAUAGGAGAAGAAUACAUGGAUUAAAGUACCAAAGGCCUCGAACACGAUCUGCCAAAAGGUAAAAUCACUUGAUUGCAGAGAGACGACAAACAAUGAGUAUCGGGAAGGACAAGAACCAGGACUCACCGACAAGAACAUCAACCAUCGGCCCCGGCGUUGUGCUUGGCCACGGGAUGCUGCGCACGACGCAAGCGGCAGCCUCGAAGCCUGUGACGACGGCUUGCGAGACACAGCACCGUCCUCCGGCGCGGCCUCGCCUUCCCAGCCGGCGAUGUUGCGCCGUCCUCCAGACGACGGCCUGCGCGCGGCGUGGUGACUGGAGAGGACCUCCGUCGCAGCACUGGCACGCGACACCCGAGCCCUUUCAUCCGGCAUCAAGGAGGCGACGCGACCCACGGCACCCUGCGGCGUGGCUGCUAGCGGACAUGGCCACUCCCGCAGCAGCAGGCUCUCAGGCACGGCCGCGGCGUCUCCCGGCGCGCAGCAGACGACACGCUCCAACGGCGCCCUCCGGCGCACAGCAAUGGCCGACACGGCAGGCCCUCCGGCCGGUGGCGGUGUCUAAUCCCUAGCCACACAGAAAGAAAUUGGGAAUUUCUUAUCUCUUUGACGAAUUUGUAAUUUAACCCUCAGGUUAUGUGACGAUCCAUAUAACUCGUUAGGUUUUCUGUGCAGCCAUCAGGUUAACCAAACUUUACGGUUUAACCCCCAGUUCAUCCCAAAUUAUAUAUACAACAUACUUAUACACCAUUUCACAAUGGGUAAAA